AGAGUUUGAUCCUGGCUCAGAACGAACGCUGGCGGCAGGCUUAACACAUGCAAGUCGAACGGGGUCCAAGCAGUCGCAAGACUGUGGAAGACCGAGUGGCGAACGGGUGAGUAACGCGUGAAGAACCUGCCUUCAACAGGGGGAUAACACUCCCAACGGGGUGCUAAUACCGCAUGAGACCACAGGUCCGCAUGGACCCGAGGUCAAAGGUGGCCUCUACUUGUAAGCUACCGGUUGAAGAUGGCUUCGCGUCCCAUUAGCUAGUUGGCGGUGUAAAAGACCACCAAGGCGACGAUGGGUAGCUGGUCUGAGAGGAUGGUCAGCCACACUGGGACUGAGAUACGGCCCAGACUCCUACGGGAGGCAGCAGUCGAGAGGCUUCGGCAAUGGGGGAAACCCUGACCGAGCGACGCCGCGUGGAGGAUGAAGGCCCCUGGGUUGUAAACUCCUUUUGCUGGGGAAGAAACACGAUCAGGUGAACAAUCUGGUCGUUUGACGGUACCCGGCGAAUAAGCUCCGGCUAACUCCGUGCCAGCAGCCGCGGUAACACGGGGGGAGCAAGCGUUGUUCGGAAUCACUGGGCGUAAAGGGCGUGUAGGCGGUUCGGUAAGUGGAAUGUGAAAUCCCUCGGCUCACCCGAGGACCUGCAUCCCAAACUGCUUGGCUUGAGUAUGGGAGAGGAUGAGGGAAUUCCUGGUGUAGCGGUGAAAUGCGUAGAUAUCAGGAGGAACACCGGUGGCGAAAGCGCUCAUCUGGCCCAAUACUGACGCUGAGGCGCGAAAGCUAGGGGAGCAAACGGGAUUAGAUACCCCGGUAGUCCUAGCCGUAAACGGUGAUCACUAGGUGUUGGAGGCAUCGACCCCUCCAGUGCCGCAGCUAACGCAUUAAGUGAUCCGCCUGGGGAGUACGGCCGCAAGGUUGAAACUCAAAGGAAUUGACGGGGGCCCGCACAAGCGGUGGAGCAUGUGGUUUAAUUCGACGCAACGCGAAGAACCUUGCAUGGCUGUCGUCAGCUCGUGUCGUGAGAUGUUGGGUUAAGUCCCGCAACGAGCGCAACCCUUGUCCUUAGUUGCUAACGGGUAAAGCCGAGCACUCUAAGGAGACUGCCGGUGAUAAACCGGAGGAAGGUGGGGAUGACGUCAAGUCCUCAUGGCCCUUACGUCUGGGGCUACACACGUGCUACAAUGGCCGGUACAAAGGGUUCCGAAACCGCGAGGUUGAGGCAAUCCCAAAAAACCGGUCUCAGUUCGGAUUGCAGUCUGCAACUCGACUGCAUGAAGUCGGAAUCGCUAGUAAUCGCGGAUCAGCACGCCGCGGUGAAUACGUUCCCGGGCCUUGUACACACCGCCCGUCACAUCACGAAAGUCGGUUGCACUAGAAGUCGGUGGGCUAACCCGCAAGGGAGGCAGCCGCCUAAAGUGUGAUCGGUAAUUGGGGUGAAGUCGUA
This 1447-nucleotide ribosomal RNA is filed under the name alkali sediment metagenome. RNAcentral's name for it is "bacterial SSU rRNA". It matches the Rfam family "Bacterial small subunit ribosomal RNA". The record is from RNAcentral.